GACGAACGCUGGCGGCGUGCCUAAUACAUGCAAGUAGAACGCACAGGUUAUACCGUAGCUUGCUCCACCAUAGACUGUGAGUUGCGAACGGGUGAGUAACGCGUAGGUAACCUGCCUGGUAGCGGGGGAUAACUAUUGGAAACGAUAGCUAAUACCGCAUAAUAUUAAUUAUUGCAUGAUAAUUAAUUGAAAGGUGCAAUUGCACCACUACCAGAUGGACCUGCGUUGUAUUAGCUAGUAGGUGAGGUAACGGCUCACCUAGGCGACGAUACAUAGCCGACCUGAGAGGGUGAUCGGCCACACUGGGACUGAGACACGGCCCAGACUCCUACGGGAGGCAGCAGUAGGGAAUCUUCGGCAAUGGACGAAAGUCUGACCGAGCAACGCCGCGUGAGUGAAGAAGGGUUUCGGAUCGUAAAGCUCUGUUGUAAGAGAAGAACGGGUGUGAGAGUGGAAAGUUCACACUGUGACGGUAUCUUACCAGAAAGGGACGGCUAACUACGUG
This 505-nucleotide ribosomal RNA is filed under the name uncultured bacterium. RNAcentral describes it as "partial 16S ribosomal RNA". It matches the Rfam family "Bacterial small subunit ribosomal RNA", at positions 28 to 507 of the family's 1533-position model. The record is from RNAcentral.